AUUGCUGCAGUUGGGAUGGAGUCACUUGUGACUUAUUAAACGGUCAUGUUAUCGGGUUAGACCUUAGUUGUAGUCUGCUUAGUGGAAGUAUUCAUCCCAAUAGCACCCUCUUCCAACUUCAUCAUCUCCAGGCACUAAACCUUGCUUACAAUCACUUCAGCUAUUCUUCAAUCCCACAUAACAUUGGCCGAUUGACAAAUUUGGUUUCGCUUGAUCUUUCUUCUGAUUUUUAUGGACUACAACUUGAUGAGAGAACAUUUGAAACAAUGCUUCAAAACUUGACAAAUCUGGAAGUACUAUCUCUCUUUCUUGUCAACAUCUCAUCUCCGAUGCCUGUGAAUAUUUCUUCCUCUUUAAGGUACCUGGAUCUUCGUUAUACUAAUCUGCGAGGUGUUCUAACAGAGAGCUUUUUCCUUCUGCCAAACAGCUUGGAAACGCUCAAACUGAGUGGGAAUGAUCUUCUCAAAGGAGUUUUUCCAAAGAUCCACCGGAGCAACACUCUGUUAAUGGAGUUGGAUAUUUCAUACACAGGCAUCUCUGGUGAGCUGCCUCAUUCAAUUGGCACCUUUAGUUCAUUGAAAUACUUAAACCUCCAAGGAUGCCAAUUCUCUGGUUCCAUUCCUAAUUCCAUUGACAACCUAACCCAAAUUACGGAGUUGAUUUUAUCUUAUAAUCAUUUCACUGGACAUAUUCCUUCCACAAUCUCUAAAUUGAAGUACCUCACAAAUUUACAUCUUUCUGACAACUCCUUUUCAGGUGAAAUUCCUGAUGUUUUUUCUAAUCUCAAAGAGCUACGUUAUUUAGAUCUUUUUAAUAACAGCUUCAUCGGUCCAUUUCCUGCUUCAAUUUUAAGUUUGACACAUCUUGAAUACUUAGGAUUGUCGAGUAAUUCCCUAUCUGGCCCACUGCCUAGCAAAGCAAGCAUGCUUCAAAAGCUAUCCGAACUGCAUUUGUCUUACAACUCGCUGAAUGGUACCAUACCAUCUUGGGUGUUUAACCUCCCUUUGCUAUCUUCGUCGUGGCUCAAUCAUAAUCAAUUUAGUGGACUAGCCGAUGAGAUCAAAACAAACCCAACAUUAGAAUUCCUGUAUUUAAAUAAUAAUCAACUCAGCGGUUCUUUUCCUCAAUCACUUGUGAAUCUCACAAACCUUUCUACCCUUGACCUUUCAUCAAAUAACAUCACUAUUGAUGAGGGAAUGAAUAUCACCUUUCCUAGCCUUGAAAUUUUGCAGUUAUCAUCUUGUGAACUGAAGGAUUUUCCACACUUGUUGAGAAAUGUAAAGACACUUCAGGUCUUGGAUAUUUCUAACAAUAAGAUUUGUGGUCAAAUCCCUAACUGGUUUAGCGGCAUGAGGAUGGGACUCGUUGCAGCUAUUAAACCUUUCUCAUAAUUCAUUAACAGGCCACCUACCACAAUUUCAUUUCCAUAAUCUAGUGUCUCUUGAUCUGAAAUUUAACUCCCUUCAGGGUCCACUACCUUCAUCCAUUUGUAACAUGAGCAGACUUUUCUUAUUAGAUUUAUCACAUAACUACUUCAGUGACUCAGUUGCACAUUGCUUGGGAAGCAUGGCUAGUCUAACCGUGCUAGACUUGAGAAGGAACAAUUUCAUAGGGAAUCUUCCCCCAUUAUGUGCACAGGGCACUUCAUUGAGUACCAUUGUCGUAAAUGGUAAUCGAUUUGAAGGACCUGUACCUGUGUCGUUGCUCAAGUGUAAUGUUCUAGAAGUCCUUGAUGUGAGGAACAAUGCUAUAAAUGACACAUUUCCAGCUUGGCUCGGAACUCUUCAAGAGCUGCAGGUCCUUAUAUUAACGUCGAACAAGUUCCAUGGACCUAUAAGUACUUGUCAGACUAAGCUUUGCUUUCCCAACUUGCAAAUUUUUUAUCUUUCUCGUAAUGAUUUCAGUGGCUCACUUCCUGCAAAAGUUUUUGGAAACUUCAAGGCAAUGAUCAAAUUAGAUGACGAAGACACAAGAGAGAUCAAGUACAUGGAAUCUAAGUCAAAUUUGUCAUUUGACACAUCUUAUGAGGAUUCAGUGAGUUUGGUAAUCAAAGGGCACGAUAUUGAGCUACAAAGAAUCAGCACAAUUACGACAACCAUAGAUCUCUCAAGCAACCAUUUUGAAGGUGUCAUUCCGGAAACACUAAAGGAUCUCAGCGCACUUUGGCUACUCAAUUUAUCCCACAACAAUCUCAUAGGUCAUAUUCCAAUGGAAUUGGGGCAAUUGAAUACACUUGAAGCUUUAGAUCUCUCCUGGAAUCGGCUCACUGGAAAGAUUCCGCAGGAAUUGACAAGAAUAAACUUUCUAGCAGUCUUAAACCUCUCCCAAAAUCAUCUCGUCGGACCAAUUCCUCAAGGUCCACAAUUCAACACAUUUGGAUAUGACUCAUAUGGUGGCAACCUUGAUUUAUGUGGUCUUCCUUUAUCAAAGCAAUGUGAAACAAGUGAUUCAUCACAUGUUCCUCAACAAGAAGAUGAAGGCGAGUCAUAUUUUUUUAGUGGAUUUACGUGGGAAUCAGUAGUCAUAGGCUACAGUUGUGGUCUAGUUGUUGGAACUUUUCAUGUGGAGUCUCAUGUUUAAAUAUCGUAAGCCAAAAUGGUUUGUGGAAUUUUUUGAUGGACUCAUGCCUCACAAAAGAAGAAGGCCAAAGAAGAGAGCUCAGAGAUGACGGACUUAAUGGAAGAUUGAGAGGGUAACCUUGUCUUUGUUUGAUUUUGUGGACUAAUUAGUGAACUUUUCUGGUUCUGUUUUUGUCUUUUCAAUUUUCUAUUUGUUGUUUGUAUAUGUUUGAUAGAAACAUAAUUAUAUGUGUGUUAUUCAAGUUAUGUUAGUUUGUUUCUGUUUCAAGUUGAUAGAAGUGAUUUACACAGCCACUCAUUAGUUAUGUUACUCAGACUCUUCAAAAAUGUCAACGACUACAUAUUGAAUUCUUCAAAAGUAGAGCAUUUUUUAUGAAACCAACACAAAUGCAACACCAUUUUAUUUUUAGGAGAGUCGGAGCAACAUAGCUCAUCAGCAUAACAAAAACAGGAAAUUGCACAAGCAAAUAGAUCAGUUUGGUUUAUGAUUGAAAUCACUUGAUAUUAGAAAGUUUAUAUUUUUGAAAAUUUAAGUAGAAGAGUACUCAAAACUACAUAAUUUGCUAAUAAUUUUGUGGUUCUGCAUCUUUAGAAUCAUAAAUCACUUAAAAUGUUCUCUAACUCAAUAUCAACUUCCGCAAAUUUAAUUUUAGUAAGUUUUUACAUAUAUUUAUACUUCGUGUACGAAAAAUAAUGUCUCUGGUUGUUCAACAACUAAUUCAUAUUGUUUGAUUAUCAAUGCGGAAAAGGUUUUUUUAAAAGGGCAAAAUGUUCUAUACAAGGAUUUUAGAAGUGACUAGUACUCAUUCAUGGACUACAAGUGACUUUGAGUCUUCCUGGAAAUUGACUUAACACUUAGGACAACCACAAAUUAUUUGUUUGGAUGUGUUUCUUUUCUUUCGCUAAUUUAUACCUCAAUAGUCCCAUGCAUAGACAAGUCAACAACGCUACUUUAUGAAAUACUGUUUGGUUAAUUGUUCACUAUAUUUUAAUGUGGAGGUCGUUGUAAUAAUUAAGAAAUGGAAUAGUGUUUGGUUAAUUAUAGCAUCCUUUCUUCCGUGACUACUUAUUUUAUUGACUUAUUUAUAUGUUGACAAUUAUCAUGAACCCAUAUUAUAUUAUUACUAGGUAAAUUACCCGUGCUUCGCACGGAAUUGAACUAUUUUAUUAAGCUUACAUAUGAUCAUUCGAUAAUAUUCAUAUUUUCGAUACAUACACUACAUUGUCAAGAUCAUUUUAUCUUAAGGCAAAACGUUCCUCCAAAAUCUUAAAGUGCUAUAUUUUUUUAAUUUUCAUUUUUGUUAUACAAAUAUUAUGAGUCAUAGAUAGAUUUUAAGUAUAAGAAAGAAGUCUAAGAAAAUCUCCUUGGAAAUAGUUGGUCAGAAGUAAUGGAAUAUUUUUAAUUCCAAGAAGUUAUAAAGAACAACAUCAGACGUUAAUAAAGAGACCAAAAAAGGUCGAACAACAACACUUCCAAGUAAAGUGGAGUAUCACGUCCAUACAAGAUCAUAAUUAACUAAAUUCAAAUGGACGACCAUGGACUCCUUUCUUAUGAACCUCCAUCAAUCUCUUUUUUAUUAUUGUAUGCCAUAUCAAGUAUAUGCUAAAAAUGACCCUAAAAUUGUUAUUAUCAUAAAUGUUUUUUUGUCAUUGUCUCAAAAUAGUCAUUACUAUUUUAAAGGUUUCAUAUCACCGGCCCCAACUUAUUUGGAUUAAACCAUAGUUAUUGUUAUGGUUAUAGUAUGCAGUUACAAAAAAAUUAAUGCAAUUAUCAGCCAAGCAAUAGGUGACAUCUGAAUGUUCACAACGGGAUAUUCUAAACAAAAAAUUUGACACAUAACAUAUUAAAAUCUCACAACAUAAUUUUGUGAGCACUUGAACUCACAAAUAUCCUAAAAUAAUAAUAAAGACAAUCUUACUUUCCUAACAAUCAAGAAGAAAAAGGCUCGUUGCUUAAUAUAUUUUUCAAAAAGAUAGUCUUUCGGGUUGUAUCCAAGUUCACAGUUCACAAAUUUAGUUGAAAGAAGCCAAAAGAAAGAGUUAUUACUUCUUUAUCAAAAAAAUUUAAAACUUUAUCAAAAGAAUGAGUUAUCACUACAACAAAAAUGAUCUUUAACGAUAAUUAAUAGCUUAAUUAUCGCUAAAUAUGUAUUUUCAGAGGCAAUUGGUACUCUGUAUAAAUGUUCCUAAAGUCUAUAGCAACAUUGAAUCCAAUGACAGUUAAUUCAUGUCGGUAAAGGCUGUAGCACUCUUCGUGAACGUGCAUAUUUAUUGCCGAUAAAAAAUAUUUUUGUUGUAGUGUAUUUUGGACAUUUGUUAGUUUUAAGAAAACUUGAUCUCUUAUUAUGCCCAAAAAGAAGAGAAGAGGAAAUAUGACAAAUUAGUUAACUUGCGAUAAAUGAUGUGGACUAAUUGUCUCUAUACAAAUUUUCUAGGAAUAGUGCAAUGGCAUACAAAAUGUUUGUACCUAAGAAAAAACAAUCAAAAUAAUAUACUAACUGUGGCAAACAAGAGAGAAAUCAUUUUGGUUCUUUUAACAAACUUCAUCAUUGGUUCCGUACUAGUUAUCAGAUUUUUGUUGUUGUGUGCUAUCAAAUAUAGCACAACCCACAAGCAAUUUUCCCAAAAAGUAUAUGAAGAAAAACUGUAGAAAGGGACAAAAGAGAAGAUAAACUUUCAAUCAUCCUCAUUGAAAUUUUGAACAUAAUUAAAAAAAAAGUCACCAAAAUAGCAAAAAGAAAUUGCAAUAGAUACAUGAAUCACUAUGAUUUAUAGUAAAAAAUUAAGCUUCAUGAAAUAGGAGGAAAAAAACUUUGAGAAAUGAAAUGCACUUUAUAAGAAACUUAAUUAAUGUAUUUGAUUUCGAAAAAAAAUACAAAUAAUAGUGGUAGAAAUAAAAGAUUUGUUUACUAAAGAACCAAAUGUAAUGAAUUCAGUCAUCAACCAUUUCAGCAGUGUUAUGAGUUGUGCACUGAGAGAUCCAAGAGCAGUAAUGUCGCAUUGCAAUUGAAAUCAAUUUUCUUUGUUUAUAUGAAGAAACCUGUAGAAAGUGACAAAAGAGAGGAUCAAUUUUCAAUCAUCCCUGCUGAAACUUUAACAGAGUUAAAAAAAAGGUCACCAAAAUAGGAAAAUGAAAUUGCCAUAGUUACAUGAAUCACCAUGACUUACAAUAAAGAUUAAGAUCCAUGAAAACUUUUAGGAAUGAAAAAAAUUCCUAAAAACUUAAUUAAUGUAUUUGAAUUUGACUACCCUAUAGAGGGAAAAAAACCUACAAAUUAUAGUGGCAGGAAAUUCCUCUAUUUAUAGACAACAUAGAGUAGUGUGAACAAAUUUUUAUUGUGCCUUAUCCGAGAUGUCACAACUCUUUGGAAAAGUUACAACCCUUCAGAAAGGUCACAACCUUUCAUAAAAGUCAUAAUUUUUCAUAAAAGUUGCAACUCUUCAUAAAAGUCACAACUUUUCAUAAAAGUCACAGCUUUUAAUGAAAAGGGAAGGCUAGUUUUGGAAAUAAAUAAAAUUUAAAAGGGAAUCCUAGUUUAUGGUGGCGCCACGUAGGCGGGCCUAGGGUUCUCUUUUAUAUAAAUUUUUGAUUUUUGAUAUAUGAUUUUUACGUUUACCUUUUUUAUUCUUCUUUCUAUUUUUAUUCUUUCAUUAUUAAAUAUUCUAAAGUCUAACCUUUUGCAUUAUACAAAAUAUAUUGUUGGGUGUUAAUAAAAAUAUCAAAUUUAUUUUUUGGUGUAUUCUUUAAAUUACAAGCACUACAACAAACACUACAAUAAAAACAACUUGUUGCGGUUUCUGAACCUUUCAUAUAAUUCAUUAACAGGCCACCUACCACAAUUUUAUUUCCAUAAUCUAGGGUAUCUUGAUCUUAAAUUUAACUCCCUUCAGGGGCCACUAUCUUCAUCCAUUUGAAACAUGAGCAUACUUAGACUUGGGGAAAUUGAAUGUGCUUGAAGCAAUGAUUAAAUUAGAUGACGGAGACAAAGGUGAGAUCAAAUAUAUGGAACAAUUGAGUGAAUAUUCAAUGUAUGAAGAUUCAGUGAGUUUGGUGAUCAAAGGCCAUGAUACUGAGCUAGAAAAAAUCAACACAAUUAUGACAACCAUAGAUCUCUCAAGCAACCAUUUUGAAGGUGUCAUUCCAAAAAUACUAAAGGAUCUUGGCUCACUUCGGUUACUCAAUUUAUCACGUAACAAUCUCAAAGGUGAUAUUCCAAUGGAACUGGGGCAAUUGAAUGUGCUUGAAGCAAUGGAUCUGUCCUGGAAUCGGCUCACUGGAAAUAUUCCUACUGAAUUGACAAGACUAAAAUUUCUAGCAGUCUUAAACCUCUCUCAGAAUGUUCUUGUCGGUCCAAUUCCUCAAGGUCUACAAUUCAACACAUUUGGAAAUGACUCGUAUGGUGGCAACCUUGAUUUAUGUGGUCUUCCUUUAUCAAAGAAAUGUGGAACGAGUGGUUCAUCACAUGUUCCUCAACCAUCGGAGUCGUAUUUCUUUAGUGGAUUUACGUGGGAAUCAAGGCUACAGUUGUGGACUAGUUGUUGGAACUGUCAUGUGGAGCCUCAUGUUUAAAUAUCGUAAUCCAAAAUGGUUUGUGGAAUUUUUUGAUAGACUCAUGCCUCACAAAAGAAGAAGGCCAAAGAAGAGAGCUCAGAGACGACGGAUUUAAUGGAAGAUUGAGAGGGCCAACUUGUCUUUGUUUGAUUUUGUGGACUAGUUAGUGAACUUUUCUGGUUCUGUUUUUGUCUUUCUGUUUGUUGUUUUGUAUAUGUUUGAAAGAAACAUAAUUAUUAUAUGUGUGGUAUUUUAGUAUCAAUGGUUAUUCAAGUUAAGUCUAUUUCUGUUUCAAGUUGACAGAAGUGAUCUACACAGCCACUCAUUAGCUAUGUUACUUAGACUCUUCAAAAAUGUCAAUGGGUACGUGUUGGAUUCUUCAAAAGUAAUGCAAUUUUUAAGGAAUCAACAUGGGUGUCAUUAUAUUUUAGGAUAGUCGAAGCAACAUAACUCAUCUUUCUUAACAUUUUCUGUUUCUGUAUUUAUUUCUUUUAAAGAUCAUUGCUUUGAUCUUAAUGGCUUUCAACCCAUAUUAGGAACACUUGAAAUGGCUGAACUCAUACACACAGAGGAUAGAAACUAUUCAGCUGUUGACUGAAGUGAUCCACUUAUUAGUACAACAAAACAGGAAAAGGCUACAUCCACCUCUGGGGCUCAUGUUGUUCUGUUUCUUCAAAUGCAAAACACUCUCUAUCAGGAUUUUCUUUAUUUUCAAGGUUCGAAUCCGAAACCCUUGGUUCAAUUUUACCUGGAACCAUGCAUUUAGCAUAACUAUAUGUCCUAUUGCAUUAUAGUUAUUAUACAAAGUGGAAAAGUUCAAGGGAUAAUAACACCAUCUCAAAAGUCGGGUGUGUAACUGAAAAUCUAAAUCAACUUUAGGGGUAUACUUAGGGCUGUUCAAAACUGAACCAUAACCGAUAAGUCAAUCGCAAAAUUGACUUAUUGGUAUUGGAUUAUCGGAUUAACGGUUGGUCAACGGAUUAAAAUUUUAUAGUUAAUGGUGCGGGGCGGAUUACUCAAUGGUGCGGGCCGGAUCACUCAAUUUCCUUCUAGGGUAAACCAUUAACCUUUUAAAAAUUAUCGUAGUUAGGAUAUUUAUUAAGUAAAUACUAAUGCGCUUGCACCCUCAAAAUUUAGUUCACAUGUGUUGUCACGCCCUGAGCCUACACCCUGGACGUGGCGGGCACUCGAAGACCAUUGCUGGUCCCAAGCGAACUGUUGGCCUAGUUUACUUGACUCAGCGGAAGACUUAAACUAAACAAAGAUAAGUUCAUAUAAUAAAUUGGAAUGUUAUAAAGGAACAUUCAACUGGACAUUAAGGCAAACUCAAGUCUGAACAUGGAGUAAUGACAAUGAAAAAACUAAAAACUAACAUCUGACUGUCUAUGAAGCCUCUAAUAACAACUGAGAUGGAUGUUGGGAUAGACCCCACAACAUCCUAAUAAACUAAACUGGAAAGCAAUGAAAUGGAUCCUCCGGAAAGCAAGGAGGCUCACCAACAGACUCUGGACUGCUCACUGGAUCAACGAUGCGUCAGGAUGCCGAUCCUAGUUACCUGUGUUUGCAUCAUAAUACGAUGCAGACCAACUGACAUCAGUACAUUGAGUGUACGAGUAUGCGAGUUGGAAUGCUAAAACAACAUAGACUAGAAAGAAUCUGAGAGAAACUGAAGAACUUACAUGACUCAACUCAACAUGACUGAACUCAUUUCAUUAUAAAUCAGUUUAAAAGCAAGUGCAAUAUAAAGAAAAGUUGUUUAAAAACAUGAUAUUAACUCUGUGUGUAUGCAAGAUACAAAUAACUCUGAGAUGUAUUUAAAAAUACAAUAAACUGAUGUAUAUAAAAAUACAAUAACUUCUGUGGGAGUUUCUCUAACCGACAACCACCACUUAUGAAACUAAGUGGUGAUACAACGUUUUACCUCACGUUACCCAAGGACCAUCNNNNNNNNNNNNNNNNNNNNNNNNNNNNNNNNNNNNNNNNNNNNNNNNNNNNNNNNNNNNNNNNNNNNNNNNNNNNNNNNNNNNNNNNNNNNNNNNNNNNNNNNNNNNNNNNNNNNNNNNNNNNNNNNNNNNNNNNNNNNNNNNNNNNNNNNNNNNNNNNNNNNNNNNNNNNNNNNNNNNNNNNNNNNNNNNNNNNNNNNNNNNNNNNNNNNNNNNNNNNNNNNNNNNNNNNNNNNNNNNNNNNNUUAUCCCGGGAUUAACUUACCUUAUCCCGGGAUUAACUUACCUUAUCCAUUACACCAAACGACCCCUAAGUCUUAAAACAAAGUUAAAAGCCUUUGCAAAAGACUUCUUGAAAAGACUCUAAGAAUUUCUUAGACUUGGCUCUUGACUUUCCUUGAAUUUAAAUUUAGGAAUUCAAGGUUAUGGUUUAUGUUUCUGGAUGAUUUCUAGACGUUUAGAAGUCAUUUAGAGUAGUUAGAAUCAAUGGAAAGUGUUAGUACACUUUAGAAGAACUUAAAUAGGCUAGACGACGGAAAACUGACGAAAAACGACGAUUUGGGCGCAUCCCGGGCGCGCUGCGCCAGCCCCAACUUACUGGGGCUCAAAUCUGGCGCACUGUUGGCGCGCUGCCCCAUCCCCUCGGGCGCAUCUGGGGCGCGUUGCGCCAGCCUCCCUUCAAGCAAAAUUCUAACGAACUUUUGCUCUCGUUUUCUGAUCCUAAAUCGUUUUAAUCUAAUUCUUUUUCUCAAUUUCACUUUAGAUUUAUGUACCCAAAUCAUAUACACAAGGAUCUAACUCAAGGAACUCAAGAACUAACAACUUAGUCAUCAAGAACUCCUAAAACUCAACUCAUGUUCAAGAACAAAAGUAAUUCAAGAACCACAUUCAAUAACAUUCAAAAUCCAAUCUUUUUGAAAUGAAAUCGCUGAAUCAAACAUGCUUGGCACGUGGGUAAACGAACCCAACAUUGAGAUAGACUCACAUACCUUAAUUGAUUGAAUCCUCGGCCAAAUUCGCAAGCAAUUCCUUACGACGACAACGAAUCUAGCUUUUUCCUCCUUUGUCUUUUCUUGCGUUCUUCCUCCAAAACCCUAGUUCUAUUUGGUAAAUGUCUAAACUGAUUUAAUUCAGCUUAGACCCCUAAUUAAUUACCAAAAAUGAAUUAAAAUAAAAGGGUAAGGAAAAGACCAAACUACCCUUUAAAAUCCGGAUUGGACAUUUCCUUAAUCCAACAACCCAACUUCCAAAGGGAAUAUCUCACUCAUAUGAACUCGUAAUCGUGCAAACUUGGCGGCGUUGGAAAGAUAAUUCCAAGAGCUUUACAAUUAUACCUGGAAGUACACCUAACUCAUCUUGAUCUAGGAGUUAUCUCCGUUUGAAGUUGGCCCAAAAAUCAACUUUUCUUAACUUAAACAAAUUUUCCAGAUUUUUGUUAUUUCCAAAAAAAAUGACUAUUUCAACUUCUUAGCUUCUUCCUAGUUAUUUCAAUUUGUGAGAUGUUACAUGUGUCUCACUGUGAUUUACAAUUACUGAAUUACCAGCUUAAGUAGGGCUAGAAAAAAAUGUUUUGUUUGAUGGGAGAUCAAUCUAAUUGUGAUUGAAAGUGAAAGAAGGGAGCACGGAAUGUUGGAGCCAAUACACCAACCGAUAACCAUCCAUUAAUUCCUAACCCGAUACCGAGUCAACCGAUAGCUUAUCCAUUGGCUAGCAGAUUAAUUUCUUUCUCGUGUUUGUAAUUUUAUCUUGUUUUAUUUUUUCUUUCACUUAGACUCCAUAUUUAUUUAUUAAGAAAUUAAUUAAAUAUAUAAUUAUGAAUUUGGUAAUUAGAAUGAGUUGUGAGAGUUAAACGAUAAAUUCAAAAUUUAUAGAAAUCAAAUUUUGGCUCCAUUUCUGAAAGGUGAGGUAAAGAUAGGGCUUGGAGUUUAUGAAAUCUAGAUUUUAGAAAAAGACCGCACCUUAAUAGGCUUUUGAUAGAUUAUUUGAAAAUUUUAAAUAUUAAUAUAUGAUUUGAGCUGAAGUUACUAAACACUUUUCGAACCCAAGCUAUACUUCUUUCUCAGGGUAUACCCUCCACAACUUCACUCUUAAUCAUAUAUUUUGACUUUGAAUCAUUCUAGUACUAGAAUAAGGAUAAUCAGCUAGGCAAUUAAGCAACACUUUCUGGCAUGGUGGUACAACUGCCAACAACUAGAAACAUUUUUCAUAUUUCUUAAAUUCAAUCAAUGUAGUAACUUGUAAACUUAAGUUUCAUAGUUAAGAUAUGGUAAAAAAAAUAAAAAUAAUAUCUCUUUUAUUGAGUAAGGUAUAAUCUACAGAAAUUUUUAUGGGCCUCAAAAAUGGGCUGCUCCUUUUAAACAUGGGAUGGGCUUCUCUUCUCUUAAUGGGCCUUAUGCUGCACGAGCCUGUAUUAGUUGGAGCUCCGAAACAGGAAUAGAACACCGGGUUAAGGAUUUGAAAAUUAUCUUUCCAAAUGACAUUCAAGCUAGGUGCUCUAAUAUAUUUUACUCGCUUUCCUUAACUUCCUUGAUUUAUCUUUAUCUAUACUGACAGUGUAAAACUUAUCACUUAUAAUAGUUAACACGUUAUUUUCCUGAUUUCAAAUUAUUAAUCUCAUGAAGUUUCACUUAUAGUUACUUUUAGAUGACUUGAUAGUGAAAAAAAAUAUUCUUUGAAACUUUGUUUCAAAUUGUCUAGCAUACAAUUAUCCCAGAACAAUGUAGGGGCGGAUCUAGUGAAGCAGCUACGAGUUCAUUCGAACCAAGUAGCUUUGCUUAAGACUCUUUAUAUAUGUUAAAAAAUGAAUUACAUAUUUUUCAACCUUUCAAAAUAAAUGGUACUUGUAUUGUUACCAUGUAGUACCUAAGUGUAAUGGUUACGCAUAAUUUGUAAAUUUUGUAAUGAAGGGUCUAUCGGAAACAACCUCUCUUCUCUACCUCCACAAGUUAUGAUAAGGUCUGCAUACACACUACCCUCCUCCUCAGACCGCACUUGUGGGAUUACAUUGAGUAUGUUGUUGUUUGUUCAUUUAGUUGUUGUGAAAAACUAUAAGAUAGUACCAUUUUUUGUUGUGUGUUACACAUGAUUCAGUCCUUAAGACAGCAAAGCUGGUCUUCUGUAGGAGAUAUUUGUCUCAAGUUCACAUUUGAUAUGUGUUACACAUGGUUCUAUAUAUGUGGAUAGGAAAAAUCUAUGUAGGAGAUAUUUGUCUUAAAUAACAUCACCAUUGAUGCUGGAAUACAAAUCACUUUCCCUAGCCUAGAAGUUUUGCAGUUUUCUUGUAAACUGAAGGAUUUUUCACACUUGUUGAGAAAUGUAAAGACAUUUGUGUACUUGGAUAUUUCUGCUCCCAAUUGCACACGCAAAUGUAUGUGGUCGCGGAAGAAAUAUAGUGACUCUUAACAGAAUCGGAUUAUAUAUCGAACCCAAAAGACUUGUCAAUUAACUAUUUUACUAAAUUAUACUGGUCUAAUUAUUUAUUUAAGAGUGCCAAAAGAAUUGACUUUUAUUUAAAUACUAAGAAUGCAAGAAUUAAAUAAUAAAAUUACUUACAAUGGUUGGAAAAUUUCAGGGCCGCAACAUGCAUAGGGUUCAUGUAUCACAUCUCAUGCAUGAAUUAACUACAGUUAUCAAAUUACUGAUUUACACGGUUGAUUUUAUGAUCGAUCAUGGUCUUCCGACCUCUAAUCGUCUACUCAAUUUAGUUGUUUAACUACAUCGUUGAGUGAGGAUAGACAGUCCUAAUUGACGAGCAUUUAUAUUUCCUCAUGUUUUGUGACCAAGCUAGGUGUUCGUCUGAGCGUCAUUCCUAAACACAAAUCAACUCAAUUUAAUGGAAGAUCAACCUUUUUGUAUCCAUUGGUCUAUCUACCUUAGUGUCUCCUGAUUUUAAGAGUAGACAAUAGAUUUAUCUCUAUGAUGGCCAGUCAAGAAAUACUAAAACAAGAAUACAAAAGUAAUUUAAGCGAUAAUCGAUGUUCAACACUUACACAUAGCUACAACCCUAGAACAAGGGCCUUUAACUACUAAUGUCUAAGAAAAUAUAUAGAAGCCUAAAAAGUAUUGACAACUUUAUAGUUAUACCUAUGAUUCAUCUCCCCCAAUAAUUAUUUCUAUGAACUAUUUAUAGAUAUAGAAAAUUCCAAAUAAAAUAACUGAGUCCAAAACAAAUCGGAAAAUCAAAACCAAACGGAAUUUGACUUCCACGUCAACAAUGGUCGUCCAACUGCCUCAAUUCUCUUUGCUGCCUUCAGAAUCAGCCACGUGGCAACUAAUGUAGGUAAACUUCAUUAAUUUCCUUUCUUUGUACGUUUGAAUGAAUAUUAAGUUGUCUGCUUGAUUUUCUUCUAUAAUCUUUCAUCUUUAAUUCGUUUUAGGUCCAAAUUUUUUCAUCUUCACACCAAUUUAAUCUUAUAAAUAAAAUACACUACUUAGCAUAAUUCAUAAAAUUCAUGCUAAAAAAGGACAAAUAUAUAUAAUAAAUGUAAGGUAAAUAAUGAUUAAAAUAUAUAUUUUUAGCCUCAUAUCAAUAAGAUUCGUGGUCAAAUCCCUAACUGGUUUAAUGGCAUGAGGUGGGGUUCGUAAACCUUUCACAUAAUUCAUUAACAGGCCACCUACCAAAAUUUCAUUACCAUAAUGUAGAGUAUCUUGAUCUUAAAUUUAACUCCCUUCGGGGUCCACUACCUUCAUCCAUAUGUAACCUAAUAUAUAUUCCUUUAACAAUCUGUACAUUGAAGCAACUCACACUUUUAGAUCUUUGGAGGAGAAAUUCCUGCAUUUGAAAGUUCGAUUUUUUUGUGUUUGCCGUAGCAGUGGACUUAUAGGCCUAUUCAUCCUUGUAAUGAAAAUUGAACAUGAAUGAAAAUAAAAACCAAAUGAAAGAAAAAAAAUAUGGAGUAUAUAUUAUUUUGUUAGGUCUUCUUCGUCCUCUAACAAACACUACAAAAUAUGAGUAAUAAGUUGUUAGAAGUGAGUAGUACUCAUCUAUGGACCACAAGUUGCGUACCAUUUAUGAUUGUAUAGAUUCCAUGGAAAAAUUGCAUAGAAAUUUAAUGCAUUUGUACAACUUGGUUUCCUCUAUUCCGAAUGUACAAUAAUUGUUCUCACAAUUGGUUCAAUGACGCGUUUUGACCUUUUAUGAUUAUAUAGAUUCCGUGGAAAAAUUGUACUAAAAUUUAUUGCAUUCAUACAACUUGGUUUCACUUGAUUAAAGGGACCAAUUUCACAUCAUCUUGCUUAACACAUACUGCAGAGAUAGUCGAUCUAUGACCUCGAAAUGAACAACAACAUCUAGAGAAAAUGAGGACAUAGUGAGUAUUAUAUUGUUAAGUCUUCUUCGUGCUCUAAAAAAUCUCGUGAAACACUACAAAAUAUGUGUAACAUGUUGUUAUAAGUGACUAGUACUUAUUCAUGAAGUACAGGUGACUUUGAGUCUUCCUGGAAAUUGACUUUAACACUUAGGAUGUGUUUCUUUUCUUUCGUUAAUUUGUACCUCAUAGUCCCAUGCAUAGACAAGUCAGCAAUGCUACUUUAUGAAAUAUCGUUUAGUUAAUUAAUUGUUCACAUUAUUUAAUGUGGAGGUCGUUAUAACAAUUAAGAGAUGAAAUGGUGUUUAGUUAAUUAUAUCAUCAUUUCUUACGUGACUACUUAUUUUAUUAACUUAUUUAUAUCUGGGCAAUUAUCAUGAACCCGCAUUAUUAUUUUUACGUUUAUCUUUUUUAUUCUUUCAUUAUUAAAUACUCUAAAGUCUAUCAAACGGUAAAACCUUUUGAAUUAUACAAACAAUAUUGUUGGGUGUUAAUAAAAAGAUCAAUCUGUUUUUUGGUGUAUUCUUUAAAUUACAAGCACUAUAACAAAAACAACUUUUAGCUCAAAAGUCACUUAACUAUGAAUUCUUUUCUCAAAAAGUCACUCAACAUUGAAUUUUAACACAAAUAUCACUCAAUUAUGAGUGGUUUACUUACAAAGUCACUCAAUUAUGAUUGUUUUACUUACAAAGUCUGUUAACAUAUUUAAUUGUUUUUUUAAUUAAAAUUUGUUGGUAUAAUUUUCUUAUUUAAAAUUAAUAUUUUAAAAAAAAGUAAUAUCCAUUAAAUAAUUUAAUGAUCUGCCCCGCUAAAAAUAUAAUAUUGAUUUUUUUUUUAAUUGGAAUUCAAGAAUAAUACGGGAAUAAAUUAUUCCAUGCAUCAGAAUUCUAAGCAUUAUGAGGAAUAAAUUAAUUUCCUCUUCAUCCCCUCCCCCUUUCUCAGUUGCUGCCUCUUCUUCCUCUUUUAGUUUUUUUAAUUGGAAUUCAAAAAUAAUACUGGAAUAAUUUCAUGCAUCAGAAUUCCUAAAGCAGAGGAGAAAGAAUCCGACAAUAAUUUAGGAGAAUUAGCGGUAAAAUAAAAUGGGUCAAUAUUAUAUUUUUAGGAGGUCAUUCAUUAAAUGAUUUAAAUGAAUAUUUUUUUAUUUUUUAAAAUAUUGCUUUUAAUAAAAUUUUAUACCAGCAAAUUUAAUUAAAAAAUUAACUAAAUAGGUCAAAUGACUUUGUAAGUAAAAUACUUAUAGUUGAGUGACUUUGUAAGUAAAACACUCAUCAUUGAGUGACCUUUUAGUUAAAAUUCAAGUUGAGUGACUUUCUGAGAAAAGAAGUCAUAGUUGAGUGACUUUCUGAGAAAAAAAAUUCAUAGUUGAGUGACUUUCUGAGAGAGUAGUGCAUAACUGAGUGACAAUAUUAUAUUACGUGGUUUUGAGUAAGUUUUAUUAUUCUAACUUUAUAUUAUAUAUUUUUUCAUUGAAAAUUUUCGUUGUUUGUAUUCUUACUUCAUAAUGGUCUAUGACUUUGUGUACAUCCUACCUUCUUGAAACUUUACUUGUAGGAUUACAUUAAUCAGUAUGUUAUAAGUAUUCAAUUUAUGUUCGAGUAAUCAACACCAAAUAUUUGGGCAUAUCCCUUGACAACAAGCCUAGCCUUGUAUUUAUUGAUAGAACCAUCAGAAUUGAGCUUGGUUCUAAACACCCAUUUUACUCCAAUGACCUUCAUAUCUUUCAGUCGGUCGACUAACUCCCAAGUUUUGUUUUUCUUGAUCAUUAGCAUCUCCUGCUCCAUUGGCGUUUUCUCCAUUUUUUAUCUUGAAGUGCUUCAUCGUGCCCUGCAGGCUCACAAACUGCCACAUUACUUUGUUGGUAGAUGUCAGAGAGUAGUCUUGUACCUCUAAUUGGAAGAUCAUCCACCAACUCAUUUUUCCAGUGAUCCGAUGCCUGCUCCUCUGAAGCUUUGACUGAAAGUUGAUUGUCCUUCCAGUCCCAUUUCUCUUCAUCAACAAAGUGCACAUCUCUACUGACAAUCAUCUUCCCUGUUUGUGGAUUAUAUACUUUGUAGGCCUUGGAGGAUGAGCUACAACCCACAAAUAUUCCAGGAAGUGCCUUCUUGUCAAGUUUGUCUCUUUUAACCUGUGGCACAUGGAAGAAACAAACACAACCAAAUACUUUAGUGAAGCUUAGUGAUGGUUUGUAUCCAUUCCAAGCCUCAAAUGGAGUUUUAUUCAACAAUGCUUUAGUAGGAAGCUGAUUUUGGAGAAAUAUUGCCGUAUUAGCUGCCUCAGUCCAAAAACUUUUCGGCAACUCUUUUUCAUGCAACAUGCACCGCGACAUCUCCAUUAUAUAUCUGUUUCUCUUUUCACUAACUCCAUUUUGUUGCGGAGUAUAUGGAGCAGUAAGCUGAUGAGUAAUACCCGCUUUCUCACAAAAUUUGUUAAAUUGUUCAAAAUUAUACUCUUUUCCAUUGUCAGACCACAGAGAUUGGAUUCUGCAACCACUUUGAUUUUCCACCAUCUUCUUGAACUUCAAGAAAAUUCCAGCCACUUCUGAUUUAUAUUUCAUAAAAAAAAUCCAGCAGAAUCUUGUAUAGUCGUCAAUGAAUAUAACGUAGUAUAGACUACCAUUAAGGGAUGGUGUUCUUUGAGGUCCUGCAACAUCUGUGUGAAUCAGUUGCAACCUUUGAGAAGUCCGCCAUGUUGCUUUAGGAAAUGACUUCUUAUUCUGCUUACCAAAUUGACAAGCUUGACAACUUGGUAAGUGAUCAACUAGAGUUGGUAGUCCUCUUGUCAUAUCUUCCUUCUCCAGCAACAAUAGUGCUUGUAGAUGGCAAUGGCCAAGUCUCUUGUGCCAGGUUUCCGUUACACUUGCCUUCAUGGAAUAAGCUAGUCACUCUUUCUCUGUUGGAUCAAAGGAAAAAAUCCUUCCUCUCAUCUUCACCCUGAAAAUUUCAUUUCCAGUAGUGUCACUGAUUUGACAGUGAUGAUCUUCGAAGAAAACCUUGAAUUCUUUUUCCAUCAGAUGUCCUACGCUUAGCAAAUUCUGAUCAAUUUCAAGAACAUACAGAACCUCUGAAAUUUUCUUUGUGCCAGUGCUCGUCUUGAUAGCUAUGGUUCCAAUUCCUUUGACAGGAAGGUGAUCUCCAGUUCCUAUCCAAACCUUCGAAAUUUCAGUGGGCUUCAACUCCUUGAAUAAACUCUCGUCAUGAGUCAUGUGGUUAGUGCAACCUGUAGUAUCCGGAAAUUUGAAAAUAGCUAUGACGAGGCUGAGAAUUGGAAAUAGUCACUUUUUGGAAAGAAUUCAAAUCUGGAAAUUUGGUUAAGUGUGGGAAAAAAAUGAGUUUUUGGCCAACUUUGAACAGUCAUAACUCCUAGAUCAGGAUAAGUUAGGUGUAGUUCCAGUUAUUUUUGCGAAGCCCUUGGAAUGAUCUUUCCAACACUGCCGAGUUUGCUCGAUUCCGAGUUUGUAUGAGUGAGUUAUGCCCUUUGGAAGUUGGGUUGUUGGUAUAGGAAAGUUCACCCGAAAUUGUAAGGGUAUUUUGGUCUUUUCCCUAACCAAUUCUUUUGGUUAUAUUAGUGUGUUAGACUGAUUUUGGAUUAGUUUUUCCCAUUUUAAAGAGUAAGAGAGAGGGUUUGUGAGUGAAGAGGAGAAGAAGAGGAGAAAGAGGGGAUCAAGCAAGGAUUCAUCAAAGAUCGUCGUGGAUAUCGUCGGGGGUGAUCCCUACUAGGUAUGUGAGUUCAUAGUGUUGGGUUGGUUCUUUCCCCCACACGCCAAUCUCGUUUUAAUUUCGAGAAAAGAUUGAUUGUGUUUGUUGAAGUUGUUGGUUGUGAUUGUGUUGAAGUUCUUGUUGAUUUGGGCAUGUUUUCGGUUGUGUUUCUGGGUUAAAUAUAUUGUAUGUUGAGGGGUUUUAUGAUAUUAAGUGUUUGGGGCUGGAAACUUUGAAGUUGGGAAGGUUUAGAAUUGGAAAAACAAGGAAGAAAAGUCGAAUUUUCGAGGGAAAAGGGGUGGGCCAUCGCGCCUGCCAGCGCGCCCCAAAAGGGGUUCUGAACUUUCCCCCUUGGGGCGGCGCACCUAGCAGCGCGCCAGCAGGCCCCUCUGAAGUUUUAGGGCUGGCGCCCCGCGCCUCUCAGAGCAACAAGGACGCCAACCUUUCCCAUUCAUUCCCCACAUUUUCAUGCAUGUUCCUUAGUAUUGUACUUAUGUUUCAUAGUUGUUUCCAACACUCCAAGGUACGUCUAAACGUCAAGAACUCAUCGAUAAACAUGUGAUCAUAUACCUUGAAUCCAUAAUCCAAUUCAAGGCGAGUUAGGAUCAAGUCAAAGUGAAGUUAAGGGUCAAGUCUAGAAGUUAAGAAGCAAGUCAAAGCAAGUUUUCAAAGGUGUUCAAGAGUCUUUAUUGAACGUUCUAACUUCAUUUUAAGGCUCAAGUUUCAAGUCAAGUAAAGAGUAUAGAGCUUCAAGCUAAGUAAAGAGUCUCAGGUUUCAAGUUAAGUCAAGAGUAUAAAGUUGAGUUCAUUUCUCAAAAACUAUUAGGGACCUAAGUAUUCCCAAAGACGUUUAUAAAUGUUUUUACAUUUGAGUAAGAAGGGAACCAUGUUCUCCAAAAAGAGCCUUUGGGCUAAGUUUGAGUAAUUAUCUCAACUAAAGAAAGAUUUGUUUAAAACACUUAUGAGCUAAAAUAUAUUUUUGGGAGUAGUCUUGAGCACCGAGUUGGGGACAUGAGUUCAUAUUAACUCAACUCUCCAUAAGAACCAUGUGGCCAACAUGGGAUUUAACGGGUCAUACUUUUUAGAUAAUCACGUAAGUUAAGCUAGUGGAUCCACUUAGUAAAGUUAGCUUCCUAUAUCACGGCAAGGUAUAGGAUGGGCCUCGGCAGUGCGAGGUAAAGCGCUGUAUCAUCACUAUAGUUCUUAAAUGAUGGUUGUCGGAUAGAGAAACUCCCACAGCAGUAGAAAGUGCUUGGUUCCUCGAGGAGUUCUGCUUAGUAUGAAUGGGGGUAUGGGACUUCAUUCAUACAUUGCACAAGUAGACCUUGAGAGGAAGCAUGGUAUUUUCAUGAUAUUAAAAAUAUGAUUUUUACGUCAUGUUUUAAGAGUUUUACAAGCUUUAUAUAUUGCAUGUGUCUUAUUGCUUUAUAUAUUGAGUUCAGUUAUUCAUGAGUCCUCCUUGCUUUCCAUAGGACUCGGUUAUUUUGUGUUCUUAGUUUUGUUUUAUUAGGGUGUUGCGGGGUCUGUCCCAACAUCCAUCUCAGUAUUUUUAGAGGCUUCACAGACAGUCAGUCAGUAAGUUUUGAGUCUCUCAUCUAUGUAUAUAUAUAAUAUUCUAUUUUGAGACGCGAGUUGCUUUUUUGGCUAGCUUUUGUCAGUUAGGUUGUUUUAUGACCUUUCAUUGCAUUGAGUUAUGCUGUUGAGUUAAGUUUCUGUUGAGUUAAGAAAAGCCAGGCCAAGGGUUCGCUUGGGGGCCAACAAUGGUGUUCGAGUGCCGGCCACGUCCAGGGUGUAGGUUCGGGGCGUGACACAACCACUGUCAACUAACCAAGAAUCUGUUGAGCUCUUACUUGAAAAGCAUGUUGCAAUAAAAGGAUGAUCUUCUUCUUCUUGAUCAACAACUUGAGCAUUUCCUUCCUCCUGCGGGGCCUAAUUCUUGCAAAUCACUGCUUCGUGUCCAAGCUUAUUGCAUUUCUUACAUUUAGCAUCAAGUCUCUUCCAACACUUGAAUGGUGCAUGGCCUUUUCUUCCACAAUGGUGACAAGGGGGAUAACUUUUUUUCGCACUUCCUCCCUUAGUUUUGUUGUUGGCUGAUGUUUCUCCUUCACACACUGCUUGAUUCUUUUUCUUCUUCUGAAUUUUGUUAACCUGAUGCUUACUGACAAGUGCCCCUUCUGUUGUAACCUCCUGUCUCAUGAGUCUUCUUUGCUCUUGAGCUUUCAGGGAAUUGAGCAACUCUGUCAAACUAAUCUUUGACAAAUCCUUAGUAUUUUAUAAGGUUGUAAUUGUUGCUUCAUACCUUUCAGGAACUGUUACAAGGAUCUUCUCAACAAUUCUCGAGUCUGAAAAUGUAGAGCCGAGUAGCCUCACCUUUUUUGCAAUAUUUAGAAGUCUAUCCGAAUAUUCCUUCACUGUUUCAGAUUCCUUCAUUUUUUGCAAUUCAAACUCCCUAAUUAAGUUUAAAACUUGCAUACCUUUUAUUCUCUCAUCUCCAGAAUACUCUUCCUUAAGAUAAUCCCAUACUUCUUUAGCAGUUUUCAGAGACAUUAUUCGCGUGAAAACUAUUGACGAUACAACAGCAAAUAAACAUGCCUUGGCCUUCGAUUUCUUUGUCUUCUGUUCCUUGUGUGCUUUAAUCUGAGCAAUGGUAGGAUUAUUUGGUAGGGCUGGAAUAUCGUAAUCCUCUUCCACAGCUUCCCAGAGAUCCAAAGCAUCCAAGUACGUCUCCAUUCAUACUGCCCAAAUCUGAUAAUUAUCUCCAUCAAAGACCGGCGGAGCAAUUGGUGAGAAACUUGCUUCAGCAUCCAUGGCUACUCCAACUCGAUCACAAAUCCCUUAAGAUGAAAGCUCUGAUACCAACUGUUUUUAGUAAGACUAAUGACAGAUAACACAAUGAAGACAAUGUCUAGUUUGCUACAGAAAGGAAAGCAGGAGAAUACAAGGAAUUUAAAUGUGAAGAUAACUAAGAGAAAAGCUUAUGCAGAAAGUUGUAUUUCAGUAAAAUCAACCAAAAAUACAUAAACAUACAAUUAAGUAACUGAUAUAGAUCAUGGUCCUACUUUUAAGUCAUGGUACUAACCAUGGUAACUACCCCUAAAAUAACUGAAAAAAGAAAUACAGGAAACUUAGAAAUAGAUCCUGCAGUCCUAAAGCAACUAACUAAUAGUCGUAAAUGGUAAUCGAUUUGAAGGACCUGUCCCUGUGUCGUUGCUCAAAUGUCAUAAUUUAGAAGUUCUUGAUGUGGGGAACAAUGCUAUAAAUGACACGUUUCCAUCUUGGCUUGAAAUUCUUCAAGAGCUGCAGGUCCUUAUAUUAAAGUCGAACAAGUUCCAUGGACCUAUAAGUACGUGUCAAACUAAGUUUUGCUUUCCCAAGUUGCGAAUUUUUUAUUUUUCUCGUAAUGAUUUCAGUGGCUCACUUCCUGCAAAAGUUUUUGGAAACUUCAAGGCAAUGAUCAAAUUAGAUGACGAAGACACAAGAGAGAUCAGGUACAUGGAAUCUAUGUCGAAUUUGUCAUCUAUCGCAUCGUAUGAGGAAUCAGUGAGUUUGGUAAUCAAAGGGCACGUUAUUGAGCUACAAAGAAUCAGCACAAUUAUGACAACCAUAGAUCUCUCAAGCAACCAUUUUGAAGGUGUCAUUCCGGAAACACUAAAAGAUCUCAGCUCACUUUGGCUACUCAAUUUAUCCCAUAACAAUCUCAUAGGUCAUAUUCCAAUGGAAUUGGGGCAAUUGAAUACACUUGAAGCUUUAGAUCUCUCCUGGAAUUGGCUCACUGGAAAGAUUCCGCAGGAAUUAACAAGAAUGAACUUUCUGGCCUUCUUAAACAUCUCUCAAAAUCAUCUCGUCGGACCAAUUCCUCACAGUCUACAGUUCAACACAUUUGAAAAUGACUCGUAUGGCGGCAACCUUGAUUUAUGUGGUCCUCCUUUAUCAAAACAAUGUGGAACGAGAGAUUCAUCACAUGUUCCUCAAGCAUUGGAGUCCUAUUUUUUUAGUGGAUUUACAUGGGAAUCAGUAGUCAUAGGCUACAGUUUUGGACUAGUUGUUGGAACUGUCAUGUGGAGUCUCAUGUUUAAAUAUCGUAAGCCAAAAUGGUUAGUGGAAUUUUUUGAUGGACUCAUGCCUCAGAAAAGAAGAAGGCCAAAGAAGAGAGCUCAGAGACGACGGACUUAAUGGAAGAUUGAGAGGGGCCAACUUGUCUUUGUUUGAUUUUGUGGACUAAUUAGUGAACUUCUCUGGUUCUGUUUUUGUCUUUUUAAUAUUCUGUUUGUUGUUUGUAUAUGUUUGAUAGAAACAUAAUUAUAUAUGAGUUAUUUUAGUAUCAAUGGUUAUUCAAGUUAUGUUUCUGUUUCAAGUUGACAUAAGUGAUCCACACACCAAACUUAUUAAUUAGCUAUGAUACCCGGACUUUUCAAAAAUGCCAACAGAUACUUGUUGGAUUCUUCAAAGUAUUGCAUUUCUCAAGGAACCAACACAGGUGCGACAUCAUUAUAUUUUAGGAGAGUCGGAGCAACAUAGUUCAUUAGUACAACAAAAAGGAAAAAGCAAAGCAGUAAGCACAUAGAGUUUGGUUCAUGAUUGAAAUCACUUGAUAUUAGAAAGUUCAUAUAUUCAGCAUAACUGCAUGUCCAUUUUACAUUACAGUUCUUCUUAUACAAACUAGAAAAGAAAAUCUUGUGUUUACAGAAACUGAAAAUUGAUUUUCUAUAAUGUAAUACAUUUGCAUUGACCACACUACCCUUUUGUCACAGUGUUUUAUAGGUUACGAAGUUUAAGAAAAAAAAGUAAGAUUUUUUAAAUUUGUGAUUUUGAAUAUGACGUGCGAUUUUUGUGGCUAUAUAUAAAAGUAUGAAGUGUUGAUCUUUUUUGAAAUAGAUUAAUAGGAAAUAGUGUUACGUAAAAUGAAAGACAGAAUGUACUAUAUAGUGUGAUAUUGAACCAGAUCUUGAGAUAUAUAGAGUGCAAACUAGCUAGCUGUAAAGUAUCAACUUUGUCCCCAUUAAGUUUUUUCUACUACAAAAAAACUAGAAAAGUGAAAAGUGUUGUGGAAAAUUAUAGAAUGUACCUAACAUGUUUGAAAACAACUAAUCAGGAAUUUCUGAUACAAUUUCUCUGCAAUCUUUAACAUUAAAUAUUGACCAAGUCAAGUCUCUCUGGUGGUGGAAUUAGAAUGUUGAAUUAGCUUUACUUUUAUUUCUUUCUUGUUUAACAUCUUAUAUUUAUAAAUAAAAUAAGGCAACAUGUCCUAUCAUUAUUAUACUAAAUUUAUUUUUCUUCUUGUUUAAGAGCUUAUAUUUCUGUAAAGAAUGUGUAUGCUAUAUUUUUACAUUUUUCACUUCUGAAUAAGUAGUAGUAUAUGAAUCUUGCAUAAUAUAACCUGCUUUUCCAAGAGGCCUUUGUGUAUUAAAUUUUUUGUAUCUAUUAUCUAGAUUAAGCUUCAUCUAGAUAAUGCAAAAACCGACUCUGGUUAGUCUUCGCGGAAAUUUGCCUAAAGACUUAGAAGUCAUCGUCUGAUAGUUGCAGUAAAGUACCCCUUUUUUCUUUGUUGCUUAAUUAAAUACGAGACGGUCCUAUGAAGAAUAAUGGAGUUUCCCUCAUUAACUUAAUGUGAAAACUCAUGUGUAACUAACAAGUUUGAAAACAGCACAAGAGACAACUAAUCAAACACCAACUUGGAAAUUUCUCAUAAUAGCUUUUAGGAACGCUUUGUAUAAUCCAAUGUUUUUUUGAGCUAUUGACUUAGUACAACACAACAGGAAAAGGCUGCAUCCACCUGUGGGGCUCAUGUUGUUCAUGGGUUAUUUAUCAGUCUAGACCUUAGUGGUAGUUAUCUUUAUGGAACUGUAGAGAAUAGCAGAAGAAAAGUAUAAUCUGCUAGCCCAAGAUCAUUAACUAUAAAAGAUCGGAAUAUUCAACUAAAGAAGAGGAAGCUAGAAAGAACUUGUUUAUGGAAUAAGACUCUUUUAUUUGGGUUGUUCUUGAGUUGUAUACAAAUGACUGAGGCCACCCCUAUUUAUACUUAUGUGGGGAUGGUUCUAGACAUUACAAGAUCUAGACUAUUUUCUACAGUGAGUGUUACAUACGGGACCAAUUUCACAUCAUCUUGCGUAACAAACAAUGCAGAAAUAGUUAAUGACCUCGAAAUGAACAACAACAUCUUGAGAAAAUGAGGACAUAAGGGGUAUUAUUUUGUUAAGUCUUCUCCGUCCUCUAAAAAGUCUUGUGGAACACUACAAAAUAUGAAGUAACAAGUUGUUAGAAGUGAGUAGUACUCAUCCAUGGACCACAAGUUGUGUAGUUAGUGAUGCCAAGGUUGUAUUAUUUUUUCUCCCUUUAUGCCAAAGUUGGACAAAAUGAAUAUUGUAUAUAUAAUUGGUACUAUCAAACAAAAUUUGAAGACUUGAGUCUUUCUGGAAAAUGACUUAAAACACUUUGGACAACUUUUUUGCAAUCACAAAUUAGUUAGUGGUAGAUGUGGGGGCAAAUACCCCAUUUUAUUUGUCUGGAUAUGUUUCAUUCUCUUUUUCUAUUCACACUUUUACAGUAAAGAUGAAAGAGAAAAUAAUUUAUGUGUGAACAAAUUAAAUAUACCACAACAUGAUUUUCUUAAAAAUAAAAAAAAUAAAAAAAGUAAUUUUUGUACAAGUAGGGAUAUAUGUGAAGCCACUUUUGUAACAACGGGUAUAUUAACUCUAAAAUGACAAAGUUGAGGGAUAUAUCAUGCCCUUUUCCUUAAUGUGCCUUGCAAUGAUAACAAUAUAAGUUGAAUAGGAUACAGUUCACUACAAUUAUACCACAAAAACAACUUUUUUGAUGUAGUGUCGAUCACUACACCUUUAUCUUGAGUCGAGGGUCUACGAAAACAGCCUCUCUACUACUUUGGUUAUUCUCCAUCUCUUUCAUGUUUGAACUGUAUCAUAUAGAUGGAGUUUCCCUCAUUAACUAAAUGUGAAAAGUCUUGGAAAACAACACAAGAGACAACUAAUCGGAAAUUUCUCAUAAAAUUUCUAAUUAUGCAGGAAAUUAAGACACAUAUCAAACAAAAUUUUGAAUAAAAAGCAAAUAAAAAAAUUAAAAAAAAAUUCCACACGGUAUUAUUGUUCAUUUUUUUCCUCACUUGACUUAGUCAAGAAAUAGUUUCUCUCAUUGGAAAUUUCUUAGAAGUUCAGCAAAAAACAAUUCCACAUAAUGGGACCAAAUUCACAUCAUCUUGCCUAACACACACUGCAGCGAUAGUUAAUGACCUCAAAAUGAACUCAACAUCUAGAGAAAAUUAGGACAUAAAGAGUAUUAUUUCGUUAAGUCUUCUCCGUACUCUAAAAAGUAUUGUGGAACACUACAAUAUAUGAGUAACAAGUUGAUUUUUAAUACCAUUGUUUAAUCUCCUUAAUGUUUUGAGUAAGAUUUGAUUUUUUUUUUUACGCGAUGCGUGACGCCUAGGCAGACGUGCCCUGAGUAAGAUUUGGUUAUUCUAACUUUAUAUUAUAUUUUUUCAUUGAAUUUUUUUGUUGUUUGUACUCUUCCUUCAUAAAGGUCUGUGUAUAUCCUACCUUCUUGAAACUUUACUCGUAAGAUUACAUUAAUCAUUAUGUUAUAGGUAUUCAAUAUACAUAGGACACUUAGAACUAGUAUAUAUAUGUAUGGAUGAUACUGACUGAUUUGUAAGAAGAACACAUCCAUCCUGAACACAAACAAACAAAAAAUGGUCAUGAGUCUGUUUUUCUUUUAUUCAUUUCUAUGUUUUGUGUUUUUAUUAAGUGAAUGCUUUUCUUCAUCCUUUGAUCAUCAUCUUUGCUCUCCCACUGAAGUUUCUGCUUUGCUUCAGUUUAAGCAAUCCUUUAAAAUAUCUGAUUACUCUACUCUUCAGUGUGAUACUUCUUUCCCAAAAACAAAGUCUUGGAAUGAGAGUAGGGAUUGCUGCAGUUGGGAUGGAGUCACUUGUGACUUAUUAAACGGUCAUGUUAUCGGGUUAGACCUUAGCUGUAGUCAGCUUCGUGGAAGUAUUCAUCCCAAUAGCAGCCUCUUCCAACUUCAUCAUCUCCAAACACUAAACCUUGCUUACAAUAACUUUUCAACUUCUUCAAUCUCACAUAACAUUGGCCGAUUGAGGAAUUUGAGGCAUCUCAACCUUUCUAAUUCUUUCUUUAGUGGGAAAAUCCCAACAGAAAUCUCAUUCCUUUCCAAUUUGGUUUCACUUGAUCUUUCUUAUAGUUAUGGAUUACAACUUGAUGAGAGAACAUUUGAAACAAUGCUUCACAACUUUACAAAUCUGGAGGUACUAGCUCUCUUUCUUGGCAACAUCUCGUCACCGAUACCUGUAAGUAUUCAUCCCAAUAGCAGCCUCUUCCAGCUUCAUCAUCUCCACACACUAAAC
This 26449-nucleotide long non-coding RNA is filed under the name Solanum tuberosum (potato). Its description in RNAcentral is "long non-coding RNA (STUB_LNC000284)". Lineage: Eukaryota; Viridiplantae; Streptophyta; Magnoliopsida; Solanales; Solanaceae. The record is from RNAcentral.